GACGAACGCUGGCGGCGUGCUUAACACAUGCAAGUCGAACGGAAAGGCCCUGCUUGCAGGGUACUCGAGUGGCGAACGGGUGAGUAACACGUGGGUGAUCUGCCCUGCACUUCGGGAUAAGCCUGGGAAACUGGGUCUAAUACCGGAUAGGAGCCAUUUUUAGUGUGAUGGUUGGAAAGUUUUUUCGGUGUAGGCUGAGCUCGCGGCCUAUCAGCUUGUUGGUGGGGUAAUGGCCUACCAAGGCGGCGACGGGUAGCCGGCCUGAGAGGGUGGACGGCCACAUUGGGACUGAGAUACGGCCCAGACUCCUACGGGAGGCAGCAGUGGGGAAUAUUGAACAAUGGGCGCAAGCCUGAUGCAGCGACGCCGCGUGGGGGAUGACGGUCUUCGGGUUGUAAACUACUUUCGCUAGGGACGAAGCUUUUUGUGACGGUACCUAGAUAAGAAGCACCGGCUAACUACGUG
RNAcentral lists this ribosomal RNA (465 nucleotides) under uncultured bacterium. RNAcentral's name for it is "partial 16S ribosomal RNA". It matches the Rfam family "Bacterial small subunit ribosomal RNA", at positions 28 to 507 of the family's 1533-position model. The record is from RNAcentral.